Molecule: ribosomal RNA, 407 nt
Filed under: uncultured bacterium
Lineage: Bacteria
Description: partial 16S ribosomal RNA
Rfam family: Bacterial small subunit ribosomal RNA
Source: RNAcentral
GACGAACGCUGGCGGCGUGCCUAAUACAUGCAAGUAGGACGCAGUUGCGAACGUGUUAGUAACGCGUAGGUAACUGCCUAUUAGUGGGGGAUAACUAUUGGAAACGAUAGCUAAUACCGCAUACUAGUAGAUGUACCUGCGUUGUUUUAUCUAGUAGGUAGGGUAAUGGCCUACCUAGGCGACGAUACAUAGCCGAACUGAGAGGGUGAACGGCCAAAAUGGGACUGAGACAAGGGCCAGACUCCUACGGGAGGCAGCAGGAGGGAAACUUUGGACAUGGGGGGAAACCUGACCGAGGAAAGCCGCGGGAGUGAAGAAGGUUUUCGGAUCGUAAAGCUCUGUUGUUAAGGAAGCGGUACUUAACCAGAAAGGGACGGCUAACUACGUGCCAGCAGCCGCGGUAAUAC